GUAGGGAAUCUUCGGCAAUGGACGAAAGUCUGACCGAGCAACGCCGCGUGAGUGAAGAAGGUUUUCGGAUCGUAAAACUCUGUUGUUAGAGAAGAACAAGGACGUUAGUAACUGAACGUCCCCUGACGGUAUCUAACCAGAAAGCCACGGCUAACUACGUGCCAGCAGCCGCGGUAAUACGUAGGUGGCAAGCGUUGUCCGGAUUUAUUGGGCGUAAAGCGAGCGCAGGCGGUUUCUUAAGUCUGAUGUGAAAGCCCCCGGCUCAACCGGGGAGGGUCAUUGGAAACUGGGAGACUUGAGUGCAGAAGAGGAGAGUGGAAUUCCAUGUGUAGCGGUGAAAUGCGUAGAUAUAUGGAGGAACACCAGUGGCGAAGGCGGCUCUCUGGUCUGUAACUGACGCUGAGGCUCGAAAGCGUGGGGAGCAAACAGGAUUAGAUACCCCAGUAGUCC
Molecule: ribosomal RNA, 450 nt
Filed under: uncultured Enterococcaceae bacterium
Lineage: Bacteria; Bacillati; Bacillota; Bacilli; Lactobacillales; Enterococcaceae
Description: bacterial SSU rRNA
Rfam family: Bacterial small subunit ribosomal RNA
Source: RNAcentral